GCAUUGGUGGUUUAGCGGUAGAAUUCUCGCCUUCUAUGAGGGAGACCUGGGUUCGAUUCCCAGCCAAUGUA
Molecule: transfer RNA, 71 nt
Organism: Loxodonta africana (African savanna elephant)
Lineage: Eukaryota; Metazoa; Chordata; Mammalia; Proboscidea; Elephantidae
Rfam family: tRNA
About the family: Transfer RNA (tRNA) molecules are approximately 80 nucleotides in length. Their secondary structure includes four short double-helical elements and three loops (D, anti-codon, and T loops).
Source: Rfam